RNAcentral lists this ribosomal RNA (333 nucleotides) under Triticum aestivum (bread wheat). Its description in RNAcentral is "partial small subunit ribosomal RNA". The record is from RNAcentral. Lineage: Eukaryota; Viridiplantae; Streptophyta; Magnoliopsida; Poales; Poaceae.
AUGGGGGGACGAGGUGCUAUCCAUGGCACACUGGAGUUUUUUUGUGUGUUCGUCGCAGAAAACUUUUUUUACUUUUAUUGGGGGAGAAUCAAAGUGCAGUGUGGUUCACUAUUUGCUGCCCUUGUGGUUUGUUGUACUUUUUAUUGGAGGAGAAAACUAGGAACACAAAAUAAAAAAAAGUGCACUGCACACACUCUGAAGAAAAUACAUGAUGCAGUUUGGUUGUGCUAUUACUGUUUAUUGCAGGAGAAGAUUUGGACAGAAAAAAUGAGAAAAAAGUGCAUGAAUAUCAUAGAGACUGAACAGAUGCCAGAGCUGCAAGCCUGCAACUAA